RNAcentral lists this ribosomal RNA (497 nucleotides) under uncultured bacterium. RNAcentral describes it as "partial 16S ribosomal RNA". It matches the Rfam family "Bacterial small subunit ribosomal RNA", at positions 28 to 507 of the family's 1533-position model. The record is from RNAcentral.
GAUGAACGCUGGCGGCGUGCCUAAUACAUGCAAGUCGAGCGAACAGAUGAGGAGCUUGCUCCUCUGACGUUAGCGGCGGACGGGUGAGUAACACGUGGAUAACCUACCUAUAAGACUGGGAUAACUUCGGGAAACCGGAGCUACUACCGGCUAAUAUAUCGAACCGCAUGGUGCAAUAGUGAAAGACGGUUUUCCUGUCACUUAUAGAUGGAUCCGCGCCGCAUUAGCUAGUUGGUAAGGUAACGGCUUACCAAGGCAACGAUGCGUAGCCGACCUGAGAGGGUGAUCGGCCACACUGGAACUGAGACACGGUCCAGACUCCUACGGGAGGCAGCAGUAGGGAAUCUUCCGCAAUGGGCGAAAGCCUGACGGAGCAACGCCGCGUGAGUGAUGAAGGUCUUCGGAUCGUAAAACUCUGUUAUUAGGGAAGAAAAAAUGUGUAGGUAACUAUGCACGUCUUGACGGUACCUAAUCAGAAAGCCACGGCUAACUACGUG